GUAGUCAUAUGCUUGUCUCAAAGAUUAAGCCAUGCAUGUCUAAGUAUAAGCAAUUAUACGGCGAAACUGCGAAUGGCUCAUUAUAUAAGUUAUCGUUUAUUUGAUAGUACCUUACUACCUGGAUAACCGUGGUAAUUCUAGAGCUAAUACAUGCUUAAAAUCCCGACUUCGGAAGGGAUGUAUUUAUUAGAUUAAAAACCAAUGCCCUUCGGGGCUCUCUGGUGAUUCAUGAUAACUUCUCGAAUCGCAUGGCCUUGCGCCGGCGAUGGUUCAUUCAAAUUUCUUCCCUAUCAACUUUCGAUGUUUGGGUAUUGGCCAAACAUGGUUGCAACGGGUAACGGAGGGUUAGGGCUCGACCCCGGAGAAGGAGCCUGAGAAACGGCUACUACAUCCAAGGAAGGCAGCAGGCGCGCAAAUUACCCAAUCCCGACUCGGGGAGGUAGUGACAAUAAAUACUGAUACAGGGUUCUUUUGGAUCUUGUAAUUGGAAUGAGUACAAUUUAAAUCCCUUAACGAGGAACAAUUGGAGGGCAAGUCUGGUGCCAGCAGCCGCGGUAAUUCCAGCUCCAAUAGCGUAUAUUAAAGUUGUUGUGGUUAAAAAGCUCGUAGUUGAACCUUGGGCCUGGCUGGCCGGUCCGCCUCACCGCGUGUACUGGUCCGGCCGGGCCUUUCCCUCUGUGGAACCCUAUGCCCUUCACUGGGUGUAGCGGGGAAACAGGACUUUUACUUUGAAAAAAUUAGAGUGCUCCAGGCAGGCCUUUGCUCGAAUACAUUAGCAUGGAAUAAUAAAAUAGGACGUGUGGUUCUAUUUUGUUGGUUUCUAGGACCGCCGUAAUGAUUAAUAGGGACAGUCGGGGGCAUCAGUAUUCAAUUGUCAGAGGUGAAAUUCUUGGAUUUAUUGAAGACUAACUACUGCGAAAGCAUUUGCCAAGGAUGUUUUCAUUAAUCAGGAACGAAAGUUAGGGGAUCGAAGACGAUCAGAUACCGUCGUAGUCUUAACCAUAAACUAUGCCGACUAGGGAUCGGACGAUGUUAAAAAUUGACUCGUUCGGCACCUUACGAGAAAUCAAAGUGCUUGGGCUCCAGGGGGAGUAUGGUCGCAAGGCUGAAACUUAAAGAAAUUGACGGAAGGGCACCACCAGGGGUGGAGCCUGCGGCUUAAUUUGACUCGACACGGGGAAACUCACCAGGUCCAGACACAAUGAGGAUUGACAGAUUGAGAGCUCUUUCUUGAUUUUGUGGGUGGUGGUGCAUGGCCGUUCUUAGUUGGUGGAGUGAUUUGUCUGCUUAAUUGCGAUAACGAACGAGACCUUAACCUGCUAACUAGCCCGUAUUGCUUUGGCAGUACGCUGGCUUCUUAGAGGGACUAUCGGCUCAAGCCGAUGGAAGUUUGAGACAAUAACAGGUCUGUGAUGC
RNAcentral lists this ribosomal RNA (1416 nucleotides) under Clonostachys sp. B3. Its description in RNAcentral is "SSU rRNA". It matches the Rfam family "Eukaryotic small subunit ribosomal RNA", at positions 20 to 1470 of the family's 1831-position model. Lineage: Eukaryota; Fungi; Ascomycota; Sordariomycetes; Hypocreales; Bionectriaceae. The record is from RNAcentral.